RNAcentral lists this ribosomal RNA (468 nucleotides) under uncultured bacterium. Its description in RNAcentral is "partial 16S ribosomal RNA". It matches the Rfam family "Bacterial small subunit ribosomal RNA", at positions 28 to 507 of the family's 1533-position model. The record is from RNAcentral.
GACGAACGCUGGCGGCGUGCCUAACACAUGCAAGUCGAACGGAAAGGCCCUGCUUUUGUGGGGUGCUCGAGUGGCGAACGGGUGAGUAACACGUGAGUAACCUGCCCUUGACUUUGGGAUAACUUCAGGAAACUGGGGCUAAUACCGGAUAGGAGCUCCUGCUGCAUGGUGGGGGUUGGAAAGUUUCGGCGGUUGGGGAUGGACUCGCGGCUUAUCAGCUUGUUGGUGGGGUAGUGGCUUACCAAGGCUUUGACGGGUAGCCGGCCUGAGAGGGUGACCGGCCACAUUGGGACUGAGAUACGGCCCAGACUCCUACGGGAGGCAGCAGUGGAGAAUAUUGCACAAUGAGCGGAAGCCUGAUGCGGCAACGCCGUGUGCGGGAUGACGGCCUUCGGGUUGUAAACCGCUUUCGCCUGUGACGAAGCGUGAGUGACGGUAAUGGGUAAAGAAGCACCGGCUAACUACGUG